This 253-nucleotide ribosomal RNA is filed under the name uncultured bacterium. RNAcentral's name for it is "partial 16S ribosomal RNA". It matches the Rfam family "Bacterial small subunit ribosomal RNA", at positions 524 to 776 of the family's 1533-position model. The record is from RNAcentral.
GACAGAGGGUGCAAACGUUGUUCGGAAUUACUGGGCGUAAAGCGCGUGUAGGCGGCUAUGUAAGUCGGGCGUGAAAUCCCACGGCUCAACCGUGGAAGUGCACCCGAAACUGCGUAGCUAGAGUCCUGGAGAGGAAGGUGGAAUGCUUGGUGUAGAGGUGAAAUUCGUAGAUAUCAAGCGGAACACCGGUGGCGAAGGCGGCCUUCUGGACAGUGACUGACGCUGAGGAGCGAAAGCGUGGGGAGCGAACAGG